UUAACUCAAAUUUGUAUGCAGUUGGAACGUUUACCUAUGUUUGCCGCUAGGGGCGCUGUUUCAACUGCACACACGGAUCUAAGAUC
RNAcentral lists this microRNA precursor (86 nucleotides) under Bombyx mori (domestic silkworm). RNAcentral's name for it is "mir-2807 microRNA precursor family". It matches the Rfam family "mir-2807 microRNA precursor family". Lineage: Eukaryota; Metazoa; Arthropoda; Insecta; Lepidoptera; Bombycidae. The record is from Rfam by way of RNAcentral.